GAUGAAGAACGCAGCGAAAUGCGAUAAGUAGUGUGAAUUGCAGAAUUCCGUGAAUCAUCGAAUCUUUGAACGCACAUUGCGCCUUCUGGUAUUCCGGAAGGCAUGCCUGUUCGAGAGUCAUUAACAACCGUUUCGAUCCCUUUCUUUCAGAAAUUACAAAGAGGAAAAGGGUUUGGUUAUGGUGGAGGAGGGAAAGGGAGCGUUUAGCCAGUAAAAAAAGAGGCUGUGUUCCGCCUCCCCCCCAAAAUUGUACAGGCGGUCGUGUGCGCCCACGCAUCGAGGUGUUGUAAAAGCUGCCACGGCACUUUUCACCUGUGCAGUGCGAGAUUGGCCAGCCGGUUUAAAAACCCCUCCAAACAAUCAAAGGUUGACCUCGGAUCAGGUAGGGAUACCCGCUGAACUUAAGCAUAUCAAUAAGCGGAGGA
This 425-nucleotide unclassified non-coding RNA is filed under the name soil metagenome. Its description in RNAcentral is "partial contains 5.8S ribosomal RNA, internal transcribed spacer 2, and large subunit ribosomal RNA". The stretch from base 1 to 120 matches the Rfam family "5.8S ribosomal RNA", at positions 35 to 154 of the family's 154-position model. The record is from RNAcentral.